UGCUAGUUCAGAUGUUGACAGUGUUUUGU
This 29-nucleotide non-coding RNA is filed under the name Mus musculus (house mouse). Lineage: Eukaryota; Metazoa; Chordata; Mammalia; Rodentia; Muridae. The record is from RNAcentral.